GACGAACGCUGGCGGCGUGCUUAACACAUGCAAGUCGAACGGAAAGGCUCUGCUUUUGUGGGGUGCUCGAGUGGCGAACGGGUGAGUAACACGUUAGUAACCUGCCCUUGACUUUGGGAUAACUUCAGGAAACUGGGGCUAAUACCGGAUAGGAGCUCCUGCUGCAUGGUGGGGGUUGGAAAGUUUCGGCGGUUGGGGAUGGACUCGCGGCUUAUCAGCUUGUUGGUGGGGUAGUGGCUUACCAAGGCUUUGACGGGUAGCCGGCCUGAGAGGGUGACCGGCCACAUUGGGACUGAGAUACGGCCCAGACUCCUACGGGAGGCAGCAGUGGGGAAUAUUGCACAAGGGGCGGAAGCCUGAUGCAGCAACGCCGCGUGCGGGAUGACGGCCUUCGGGUUGUAAACCGCUUUCGCCUGUGACGAAGCGUGAGUGACGGUAAUGGGUAAAGAAGCACCGGCUAACUACGUG
This 468-nucleotide ribosomal RNA is filed under the name uncultured bacterium. RNAcentral describes it as "partial 16S ribosomal RNA". It matches the Rfam family "Bacterial small subunit ribosomal RNA", at positions 28 to 507 of the family's 1533-position model. The record is from RNAcentral.